AAGACGACAAUACCAGUUUAGAGCUUCGCCAGAGAUGGUGGAGGGGAAGAGAAGACAUCACUCUUCGUCAGUGUGCAUCUGAUAUGCUAUAGUGGACUCAAAAAGGUUAAGGUGUUCAAUCGGAUCCUCCUUUCCAGUAUAUGAUGUGAGAAUUUCUUGACACACAAAUUAAACCCUCUUUUUGACAAUUGUAGUAUAGAUAUAAGUAGGGUAUCGUUCUAGGCCGGGGAUUAGGAGGGCUUGCUAAAACCUCUAAAUUAAUUCAAAAAUAUUAAAUAAGACUCAAGGACACAAAAUUAGGCUAAAAACUCUAAUAACUCGAAACACACUUAAAA
Molecule: long non-coding RNA, 335 nt
Filed under: Malus domestica (apple)
Lineage: Eukaryota; Viridiplantae; Streptophyta; Magnoliopsida; Rosales; Rosaceae
Description: long non-coding RNA (MDOM_LNC005166)
Source: RNAcentral